CAAAUCAGGUAGGACUACCCGCU
This 23-nucleotide ribosomal RNA is filed under the name Spencerozyma crocea. Its description in RNAcentral is "partial large subunit ribosomal RNA". The record is from RNAcentral. Lineage: Eukaryota; Fungi; Basidiomycota; Microbotryomycetes; Chrysozymaceae.